UAGUGUAAUGGUUCAGCAUGGCAGACCGGAUAUCUGUAAGUGCGGGUUCGAGUCCCGU
Molecule: transfer RNA, 58 nt
Filed under: Dictyocaulus viviparus (bovine lungworm)
Lineage: Eukaryota; Metazoa; Nematoda; Chromadorea; Rhabditida; Metastrongylidae
Rfam family: tRNA
About the family: Transfer RNA (tRNA) molecules are approximately 80 nucleotides in length.
Source: Rfam by way of RNAcentral